Molecule: ribosomal RNA, 213 nt
Filed under: uncultured bacterium
Lineage: Bacteria
Description: partial 16S ribosomal RNA
Rfam family: Bacterial small subunit ribosomal RNA
Source: RNAcentral
UAGCCUUUCGAAAGGAAGAUUAAUACCGCAUAAGAUUGUAGUAUCGCAUGAUAUAGCAAUUAAAGGAGCAAUCCGCUAUAAGAUGGACCCGCGUCGCAUUAGCUAGUUGGUGAGGUAAUGGCUCACCAAGGCGACGAUGCGUAGCCGACCUGAGAGGGUGAUCGGCCACAUUGGGACUGAGACACGGUCCAGACUCCUACGGGAGGCAGCAUG